This 74-nucleotide transfer RNA is filed under the name Sphaerochaeta sp. RNAcentral describes it as "tRNA-Arg". It matches the Rfam family "tRNA". Rfam says of the family: Transfer RNA (tRNA) molecules are approximately 80 nucleotides in length. Their secondary structure includes four short double-helical elements and three loops (D, anti-codon, and T loops). The record is from RNAcentral. RNAcentral also lists the same sequence under 7 other names. Lineage: Bacteria; Pseudomonadati; Spirochaetota; Spirochaetia; Spirochaetales; Sphaerochaetaceae.
GCGCCAAUAGCUCAGUUGGAUAGAGCAACAGCCUUCUAAGCUGUGGGUCAGAGGUUCGAAUCCUCUUUGGCGUA